This is a long non-coding RNA of Numida meleagris (helmeted guineafowl), 226 nucleotides long. RefSeq lists it as uncharacterized. The record is from RefSeq and is a predicted model, not a curated record. NCBI's taxonomy places the organism in Eukaryota, Metazoa, Chordata, Aves, Galliformes, Numididae. The transcript has 4 exons.
CAGGUUGGGUUGGGAAAGUCGUGGAAGGUCACAGAAUGGGUUGGGAAGGUCCUGGAAGGUCACAGAAUGAGUUGGGAAGGUCCUGGAAGGUCACAGAAUGAGUUGGGAAGGUCCUGGAAGUUCACCGCGCCACGGGUUGGGUUGGGAAGGUCCUGGAAGGUCACAGAAUGGGUUGGGAAAGUCCUGGAAGGUCACAGAAUGGGUUGGGAAGGUCCUGGAAGGUCAC